GACGAACGCUGGCGGCGUGCUUAACACAUGCAAGUCGAACGGAAAGGCCCCCUUGUGGGGUACUCGAGUGGCGAACGGGUGAGUAACACGUGAGUAACCUACCCUUGACUUUGGGAUAACUUCAGGAAACUGGGGCUAAUACCGUAUAGGAGCUCCUGCUGCAUGGUGGGGGUUGGAAAGUUUCGGCGGUUGGGGAUGGACUCGCGGCUUAUCAGCUUGUUGGUGGGGUAGUGGCUCACCAAGGCUUUGACGGGUAGCCGGCCUGAGAGGGUGACCGGCCACAUUGGGACUGAGAUACGGCCCAGACUCCUACGGGAGGCAGCAGUGGGGAAUAUUGCACAAUGGGCGGAAGCCUGAUGCAGCAACGCCGCGUGCGGGAUGACGGCCUUCGGGUUGUAAACCGCUUUCGCCUGUGACGAAGCGUGAGUGACGGUAAUGGGUAAAGAAGCACCGGCUAACUACGUG
Molecule: ribosomal RNA, 465 nt
Filed under: uncultured bacterium
Lineage: Bacteria
Description: partial 16S ribosomal RNA
Rfam family: Bacterial small subunit ribosomal RNA
Source: RNAcentral